RNAcentral lists this ribosomal RNA (253 nucleotides) under uncultured bacterium. Its description in RNAcentral is "partial 16S ribosomal RNA". It matches the Rfam family "Bacterial small subunit ribosomal RNA", at positions 524 to 776 of the family's 1533-position model. The record is from RNAcentral.
UACGAAGGGGGCUAGCGUUGUUCGGAAUCACUGGGCGUAAAGCGCACGUAGGCGGACUUUCAAGUCAGGGGUGAAAUCCCGGGGCUCAACCUCGGAAUUGCCUUUGAUACUGUAGGUCUCGAGUCCGGAAGAGGUGGGUGGAAUUCCUAGUGUAGAGGUGAAAUUCGUAGAUAUUAGGAAGAACACCAGUGGCGAAGGCGGCUCACUGGCCCGAUACUGACGCUGAGGCACGAAAGCGUGGGGAGCAAACAGG